CAGGGUCACUUGUCCGAACAGAGUCCUAUCCUACGCGGCGGAAGCGUGUGCCCUUUGACUUGCAUCGUCUACCUACCUCUGCCAUCCUCUACCAGCCGCAACUGCGAGGGCUGGAGGUGUACGAUCCAUAGCAGAAUUUUUGGCAAAGUCUAAGUCAGAAGAGACCCAGGAGGAAGUGCAGGUUCUGUUGGAUUCUUUGGUCCACGGCAAUCCCAAGUACCAAAAUCAAGUGUAUAAAGGUCUAAUAGCUUUGCUGCCCUGCGAGUCCCCGAAAGCCCAGCAGCUGUCCCUGCAGACUCUCAGGACUGCCCAGCCAAUCAUUGGGACCACACACCCCAGCAUCGUGGACUGCGUGCUGAAGGUGCUGGGCACGAUGCACCUGGAAGUCCAGUAUGAAGCCAUCGAGUUGAUCAAGGACCUGGUCGGUUACGAUGUGCGCCAGGCGCUGCUCAAAGGCCUCGUGGCGCUGCUGAUACCGUCGGUCAAGGAGACCUCCAAACUGCAGGCCAAGAUCCUCAGUGGUAAGGACCUGCUCAAAUGGGGCUGCCUGGGCCACGGGAGGGCGGUCUCUUGCCUCACGGCUGCCCCCUCCUCAGACCCCUCGGUUCUCCAGCUCACCCCCAGCCUGCCGAUGUUUUU
This 639-nucleotide small RNA is filed under the name Pan troglodytes (chimpanzee). RNAcentral's name for it is "processed transcript". Lineage: Eukaryota; Metazoa; Chordata; Mammalia; Primates; Hominidae. The record is from RNAcentral.